GCCGUAGCUCAGUUGGUAGAGCAGAGGACUGAAAAUCCUCGUGUCAC
Molecule: transfer RNA, 47 nt
Filed under: Adelanthus lindenbergianus
Lineage: Eukaryota; Viridiplantae; Streptophyta; Jungermanniopsida; Jungermanniales; Adelanthaceae
Description: partial tRNA-Phe
Source: RNAcentral